Penaeus vannamei (Pacific white shrimp) is the source of this 3855-nucleotide non-coding RNA. NCBI's taxonomy places the organism in Eukaryota, Metazoa, Arthropoda, Malacostraca, Decapoda, Penaeidae. The record is from RefSeq and is a predicted model, not a curated record.
CCCCAUGAGAUGUCAGUAGCAAUGGCACCUAAAUUUUCUUCAAUGUCUGGACCUUGCAGACUUUGCUUUAAGGCUGCCAAGUGGUUGCCAGUCCUUUUUAUUGUAACAGUUGUGGUAUGGUCAUACUAUGCCUAUGUCAUCCAGCUGAAUUUAUUCUCCAUUGACAGCAUCAUUGAAAAAAGUUUUUACUUAUUUGUUUACCACAUUCUGCUGUUCCUCUUCCUGGGCAUAUUGGCAGACAAUUUUCACAGAAAUUGGCAGAGUACCCAAACAGUUCCGACUACCGCCCUCUGAACUAGAAAGGUAUGAGGCUGCAGAAAGUGAUGAAGUUAGACGUGACAUAUUGGAGAGAUUUACUGAAAAAAAACUCCUGUGUACAAUCGCACUAUGACAGGAGAUAUACGUUACUGUGAGAAAUGUGUCCAGAUCAAGCCAGAAGAAGUCACCACUGUUUCAGUUUGUGGAGAGUGUGUGCUGAAGCUAGACCAUCAUUGCCCUUGGGUCAAUAAUUGUGUUGCCUUCACAAACUACAAAUUCUUUGUCUUAUUUUUGGGCUAUGCUCUUAUUUAUUGCCUCUUCAUUGCUGCAACCACUUUGCAAUAUUUCAUCAAAUCCUGGAAGAAUCAGUUGGGAGAAGUGUCAGGAAAGUUCCACAUACUGUUUGUCUUUUUUGUAUCCAUCAUGUUUGCAAUCAGUCUGGUAUCCUUGUUUGGAUACCACAUCUUCCUUGUUUCCAGAACAGGUCCACUCUGGGACCUCAAAUGAGUGGAAAUAAUGUAAAGCCCCUUCACACUGACAUCAAUCAUCCAACAAGAGCUUUGUGUAUUCAUGGCAAGGAAUUCCUGCCUUCAGCAAAUUUUCAUGAUGUGAUAGUCACAUUAACUGGAUCUAUUGGGUUAAGCAACAAAACAUUAAUGACUAAGCAGGAAAAUGAAAAGGUUCCUUUAGAAAUCAUUAGCAGCUAUACUAAGAGAAAUUGUGUAGCAAGACCUUCCAAUAUGGUAGAUGGCUGCAUUAGACUAGUCUUUCGUGCACCGAUCUUCCGCCUGAGUCACACGUGGGUCCAAGCAAGAUGGUUUUAGCUUGGGUGCAUACAACAACUUUCUGGAAGUGUUUGGCGACAACAAGAAGUUGUGGUUCCUGCCGGUAGCCACCAGCUUGGGUGAUGGCGUCACUUACCCUCAGCGAUGUGUUGAUGAAGAUACAGAUGACCUCCUAGGGUCUCGUCAGCGAUGGGCCGAAGAUGAUGAAGAAAAUGACCUUACCACAGGAUUCACAAAUAACCACACAUAUCCUCUGGAGGAGGUGGUGGUUCAGUCCAACCACACCAAUCCUGUGUAGACCAACACCUUUAAGAAGACCUUCUAUCUGCCUGACUUCAUAGAGACAUUCCUACAUCCCAAAACAGUGUGGACUAUAAUUUAGCUGGAGAAGAGGGAGUCUCACUUCUGCUGUUUAUAGAGUAUUAAGAUACCAUAGUGCAUACAGUUAUUACUUCCAUGACUUUAUAGUAAACAGAAGUGCUAUGCCUUAAAUUAUGAACAUUUUUCUCACCGUCUUUAAAAGUUAUAUGAUGGAAAUCUCCAAGCUUAAGACUGGAAAUGUCUGCAAUCUCUGAAGUCGUAACAGGUCCUUUAUGGGCCAGAAUAAGAACAGUUUUUUUGAUUAACAUUAAAGUUAGAACAGAGAAUUUAUGCAUUGAGUACUGGUUGGACUGAAUUAUGAUGGAAUAUGCUACAGUUUAUAUAGAAGGACAAUUUAUAUAUAAGGAAUAAAAGGCUGUAACAAGUCCUUUUUUCUUGAUUUUUUUCUUUUUUUCUUUAAGAAAACCAGGAAUUCUCUUUUAUUCUUCUUUUCUUAAAUGAAACAGGAAUUCUCAUAAUUUUCUGUACUUAUUCAUAUUGGCAAGUAUAAUACAUAUCUGUACUCUCUGGUAGGGAUAGCAGAUUUAAUUUUCUUGUAUUUUUUAUUAUAAAUAAAUUGCUAUCUUUACUGUAGAUAGCGAAUUGCUUUUGUGAUCUUGUUGUUAAGAGGAAGUAAAGAAUUCUUGAAAAGGAUUCAUGAUAUGUUCAUAUGUGAGUGUGGAUGUGUAUUAUUUACUGAAAAUUUCUUUGAUAAUUAACAUUGGUUUCAACUAAGUAGCCAACUCAUGAUUUUUAAUUAUUUUUGUCGUUGUUUUUUUGAACAAAUAUAAUGCUACAGUUAAAAGUAGACUAGUCUUGUGAUUUGGUAUUAAACACAUGGUUCUCAGUGACUUUUUUUUUUCUUUUCUUUUCUUAUCUUUGCAUUUGUGUGUAUAGGGUGGGUGCUUUUGUGUGUGUGUGUUCUUGCGUCUGUAUGUGUGCGUGCUUGUGCAUACACAGAUGUACGCAUUUGUAAUAAUUACAUGUGUUCACAAUUACAAACAUGCUUAUACAUAAAAACAUGCACACACAAACAAAUAUGUAUAUUGAAGUGGAUCAUGGAUGAGAGUUGUCAGUGUGAACAUUUUUAUAUUUUUACUGUAGUGCAGAUCAAGGUACUGCAGAUAUUUUUAGUAUGCAACACAUUAUGUGUAAUUUGAAUUUCACUAAGUCACUAAUUUUUGGUUUGUUUGAAUGUUUAGAUUUGAAAUUUGUAACGUCUGCUUAAGAUUCCUUUUUUUUUUUUUAGAUAAUGAUUGCUCUCAAGACUAACUUUGUUUUGCAUUUCAGUUGUACUACAUUGACACUUUAACUACUUGAGCAAUCUUCUGUGAUGCCUUGCAACAUUUUAGAUAUUCAAGAUGAAAUGACUACAUCUUUUCUGUGAAUGGGAUUCUUGUAGCUGAAUCAGUUUUUUCUGUAGUCAUUCUUGUAAUAAUGACUCACCAAAGAGUUCUCACAAGUCCUAGAAUAUAUGACAGGCCUCCAAAACAGAUGAAACCCUCAUAUCUUUUUUAUUAGUAGUAGUUUUAAGGAAGUCAUAAAGUAUGGAAUUGCUCUACAGUUAGGUUUGUUUCAUUGGAUUAUUAGUAUUAGUAUUUUUUAGAAAAAAAAAUCCCUCUGAACAUUUGCAGUUGCUUUUCAUUAUUGUUUCUUUAUUUUAUUAUACAGUUAUAAAAGUUAUUUCCCCUUGUUUCUUUCAAAAAUAUCCUUCUGUAAGAUAGUUACUACUAUUGUACAUUGUUUUGUCUGUUUAGGAAGCACAAAUUUAAUAAGCUAAGAAACCAUAAAAUACAAAAAAAAGGAUAAAAGAUAAAAACUAAAUAAUGGUGAUGCACAUGGUCUUGCAGGCUGACAAAAGUCCUGAAAAAGCCAGUUGUCAACAGUACAUGGUAAUGGCAAAUAGCUUAAUAUUUUUAAAGAUUAUAGUGUGCAAGUGACACCUCUGUGCUGUUUUGGUGACAAACUUGUGUUAACAUGAUGUCUUUAGAUACUAGUAUUUGUUGCAUUUAUGAUAUUUACAUCACUUUGAUAUGAAUAUAAUUUUAUCAUAUUUCUUAUGUCUCUGCUCACAUUGUACAGUUGACCUAUUCAAAGAAAAACAAUAUUUUGUCAGUGCUGUACUUACAAUGUUUUCAAAGAUUUUGUAAUGUGUACUUGUAAAUUGUAUAAUACAUUGACAAAGAUACAAAAACUGCUUUACCAUUAUAUAACAUGUUGAGCCCAAAGUGCUUGUAAGAGGAUCAAGGAAUUACCUCUGAAAUGGCUGCAUUUCUCCAUGAAAGACAGUCAAUAUUGGCAGGAUGAUUAUUAGCCUUAAAACAUGUAUUUUAGGUCUCACUUUUGGGAUGUAAAUGUGAUGAAUUUUAUAUUAGAUUCACACACUGUUAUAAGGUUUCAAUUACAUAAUGUUCCAUUUCAGAUCAUCAUAGAAAAAUAGCUUUGAAGUGAU